AGGAUGAACGCUGGCGGUAUGCUUAACACAUGCAAGUCGAACGGAAGACUUCGGUCUUUAGUGGCGGACGGGUGAGUAACGCGUGAGAAACUGCCUUCUGGUUUGGGACAACAGUUGGAAACGACUGCUAAUACCGAAUGUGCCGAGAGGUGAAAGCUUUAGUGCCAGAAGAAGUGCUCGCGUCAGAUUAGCUAGUAGGAGAGGUAACGGCUCCCCUAGGCGACGAUCUGUAGCUGGUCUGAGAGGAUGAUCAGCCACACUGGGACUGAGACACGGCCCAGACUCCUACGGGAGGCAGCAGUGGGGAAUUUUCCGCAAUGGGGGCAACCCUGACGGAGCAAUACCGCGUGAGGGACGAAGGUUCUUGGAUUGUAAACCUCUUUUCUCAGGGAAGAACACAAUGACGGUACCUGAGGAAUAAGCAUCGGCUAACUCUGUGCCAGCAGCCGCGGUAAUACAGAGGAUGCAAGCGUUAUCCGGAAUUAUUGGGCGUAAAGCGUCCGCAGGUGGCGAUAUAAGUCAGUUGUUAAAGCGCAAGGCUCAACCUUGUAAAGGCAAUUGAAACUGUAUAGCUAGAGUGUGGUAGGGGUAGCGGGAAUUCCUAGUGUAGCGGUGAAAUGCAUAGAUAUUAGGAAGAACACCAGCGGCGAAAGCGCGCUACUGGGCCAUAACUGACACUGAGGGACGAAAGCUAGGGGAGCGAAAGGGAUUAGAUACCCCUGUAGUCCUAGCCGUAAACGAUGAACACUAGGUGUUGCGCGUAUCGACCCGUGCAGUGCCGUAGCCAACGCGUUAAGUGUCCGC
Molecule: ribosomal RNA, 804 nt
Filed under: uncultured bacterium
Lineage: Bacteria
Description: bacterial SSU rRNA
Rfam family: Bacterial small subunit ribosomal RNA
Source: RNAcentral